Molecule: ribosomal RNA, 2854 nt
Filed under: Candidatus Omnitrophota bacterium
Lineage: Bacteria; Pseudomonadati; Candidatus Omnitrophota
Description: partial 23S ribosomal RNA
Rfam family: Bacterial large subunit ribosomal RNA
Source: RNAcentral
GGUCAAGCUACUAAGAGCUUAUGGUGGAUGGCUUGGCAGGAGCAGGCGACGAAGGACGGGGUAAGCUCCGAUAAUCUCCGGGGAGUCGCAAACAGGCUUUGAUCCGGAGGUUUCCGAAUGGGGAAACCCAUACCGAUUCAUCUCGGUAUAUCUCUUAUUGAAUAUAUAGAUAAGAGAAGCUAACCAGGAGAAGUGAACCAUCUCAGUAUCCUGAGGAAAAGAAACCGCAGGGGAUUCCCCUAGUAGCGGCGAGCGAAAAGGGAACAGCCUAAACCUGCUAUUGUUUCAAUAGCGGGGGUUGCGGGGUUUAUCCGGAAGAGACCAAAAGUUUCUUCGGGAGGUCAGAAAUUUAGUCUUUAGUUGAAUACUUUGGAAAAGGUAGCCAAAGAAGGUGAGAGCCCUGUAGACGAAAAAGACUAAACCUCCUGGGAUAAAUUCCCAAGUACUACGGGACACGAGAAACCCCGUAGGAAGCUGGCCUGACCACAGGCCAAGGCUAAAUACUUGCUUCUGACCGAUAGUGCAAUAGUACCGUGAGGGAAAGCUGAAAAGUACCCCGGCGAGGGGAGUGAAAUAGUACCUGAAACCAUAAGUUUACAAGCGGUCGGAGUCCCGCUUUUGGCGGGAUGACGGCGUACCUUUUGCAUAAUGAGCCGGGGAGUUACUCCUGUACAGCGAGCUUAACCCCGAAUCCUCGGGGGUAGGCGUAGGGAAACCGAGUCCUAACUGGGCGAUGAGUUGUGCGGGGUAGACUCGAAGCUGGGGUGAUCUACCCAUGGCCAGGAUGAAUCUCGAGUAACAUCGAGAGGAGGUCCGAACCCGUCAGUGUUGAAAAACUGUGGGAUGAGCUGUGGGUAGGAGUGAAAGGCUAAACAAACCCAGGGAUAGCUAGUUCUCCCCGAAAUAACUUUAGGGUUAGCCUCGAGAUUGGGAAGUGGGGGUAGAGCACUCGAUGGGCUAGGGACCCUACCAGGUUGCCAAACCCAACGAAACUCCGAAUACCAUUUUCCUGUAUCUCGGGAGUCAGUCUACGAGCGAUAAGGUCCGUGGUCGAGAGGGGAACAACCCAGAUCACCAGCUAAGGUCCCUAAAUGUAGACUAAGUGGAAAAGGAUGUGAAAUCGCGUAGACAACCGGGAUGUUGGCUUAGAGGCAGCCAUCAUUUAAAGAGUGCGUAACAGCUCACCGGUCGAUUACCCCGAGUAAUCGGGGUGCGAUUUUGCGCCGACAAUAAUCGGGGCUAAGUUUACUACCGAAGCUGUGAUCCGCCACUGUUUCAGUGGUGGAGGUAGGGGAGCAUUCCACCGCAGUGAAGUUCCGAUGCGAAUCGGAAUGGAGUGAGUGGAAGAGAGAAUCCCGGUAUAAGUAGCGAAAAUCCCGACGAGAAAUCGGGACGCCGAAAGUCUAAGGUUUCCUGGGGAAGGUUAAUCCACCCAGGGUUAGUCGAGCCUAAGCUGAGGCCGAAGGGCGUAGGCGAUGGAUAGUCGGUUAAUAUUCCGACACCACUUCUUUGAUGCGCGGCGUAAGCAGCAAGCCUAAAGGUGACGCAGGAAGCUAAGCCAGCCCCGUGCAGACUUACGGGGUCCAAUCCUGUAGUCCACCAUUAAUCGUGGCGGAUGAGGGGUGUAAGGGAGCCUGAUCUACGGAGAGGGCAAACUGGCUGAUGCUCUACUGCCGAGAAACAGCCUUGAUGGCGAAUCGAAGGAGUGUUCGUACCGUAAUCCGACACAGGUAGACAGCCAGAAUAUGGUAAGGCGCUCGAGAGAACCCUCGUUAAGGAACUCGGCAAAAUGGCCCCGUAACUUCGGGAAAAGGGGUGUCCCGAAAGGUAAGGCUUCUUGCAAGUUGAGCCAUUCGGGAUCGCAGUAAAGAGGCCCAUGUGACUGUUUAGUAAAAACACAUGUCUCUGCAAAGUCGUAGACUCAAGACGACGUAUAGGGACUGACACCUGCCCAAUGCCGGAAGGUUAAGGGGAGAGAUUAUUCUCCGAUUUCGGAGGAGAAGUCUCAAACUGAAGCCCCGGUGAAUGGCGGCCGUAACUAUAACGGUUGAAGUCAAAGCUACCUGACAAAGGCCGUUAUAAAAUUUGGCUAUAUGCUGGAACAUCUGGAGUAUCUCAUGCUACCGAGGAGGUGAAAAUGUAUGAGUGCAGAUUACCAGCAGGAAAGGCUUUUAGGGUCUCGAGAAUUUCGGUUUUAUAUUGCAGGGUUUAUAGAUGGAGAAGGAAGUUUUAAUGUGUCUCUCAAACCUCAUCCGGCGAUGCGCUUUGGAUGGGUUGUUGAUCCUGCAUUCCAGGUCUAUCAACAUCGAGAUAACAUAAGAAUUCUGGAAAUAAUCAGAGAUACAUUAAAAUGUGGAAGAAUAAAACCAAAAUCUCCUUCCAGUAAUACAAUGGUCUAUAUGGUGGAUAAUCGAAGGACUCUGCAAGAAAAGAUAAUUCCAUUCUUUGAAAAAUACAAAAUUCUUUCAAAGAAAUAUGAGGAUUAUCUUAAAUUUAAAGAAAUUCUUGAGAGAAUGCAGAGAAAAGAGCAUCUAACCCGAGAAGGGUUAGUAAGGAUAGUGGAGAUUGCUUGUAGCAUGAAUCAAAAAGGUAAACAACGUAAAUAUUCCCAAGAUUAUAUACUCUCUACCCUAAAAGAAUCCUCAGAGACUAUAUGCCAAAUUCGCCACUGAUUAUGGUGGAAAGAUAUAGUCCGAUCUCUAGAGCGAUCUAGAGCUAACAUAAAUGCCUAAGGUAGCGAAAUUCCUAGUCGGGUAAGUUCCGACCCGCACGAAUGGUGUAACAACAUGGGCGCUGUCUCAACGGGGGGCUCGGCGAAAUUGUAGUAGCGGUGAAGAUGCCGCUUACCCGCAGG